GGGAAAAAAGUGGGUAGAGGUUUGGCACGUUUGGAAGGAUAACUGUUCUGUGAUUGCACACAGCUACGAGAUCGGCAGCCAGAGCACCAUCUGUGCACACAGCUUAUCCACACCGCCCGGCUUCGGCACAAAGGAAUGUGUCAGCUCCCACUUAUUCCAGGUCAGCUGAAAGCCUCUUCGUGCUCCAGUGAAAUUCUGCAACCAUUCCCUGAAGAUCUAAUCCCUUCACCCAGCACGUCUGACUGGCACAGCCUUCCUUCGGCAAGAAGCUUUUCCUGCAGCACUGCUUUUGCAGGUUGGAGCUGGGAAGGUCCAGCUGCAGAACCUCCCUGCCCUACGAGCUGCAGAACGAUCAUCUCAGGGUCCUGGGGAAUGGGUGGUGUUCGACAGCCAGAUGAAUGUGAGCCAGCAGUGUGCCCAGGUGGCCAAGAAGGCCAAGAGCAUCCUGGCGUGUAUCAGCAAUAGUGUGGCCGGCAGGACCAAGGAAGCGAUUGUCCUCCUGUACUCAGCAGUGGUUUUACCUCACUGUACAUUCCUCAUAUACCUCCUCUAGAGUUUCACUGACAACCAGAUUGCUGAGAAUUCACCUUUAUGAAUCAGAGCUAAUGGCUUGUGCUACCAUGAAAACUGGAUGAAGACAAAUACUCUUAGGAAACUGAUCUUUACUCACAGCCUAUGGACUGGAAACACAAAUUAUUUCUAUCACAUAAUGGGACUAAAUAUGCGGAGACUGAAGAGUGUAAGAGGGACUGGGACAUGUACAUGCAGCCCCGGCUGGCUGACCUGUUUCAAAACCGCAAGAUGAGGAAUGGCUACAUAGAAACUAACCUUACUUAAGGAAUAACCUUCAGAGAAAAUGUUAAUAUACACCAGGUAAAAAAUGCAAAGAAGAUUCUGAAAGACCCGCAGUCACUGCAGUUUGUAAUUAUCAUGUUCCCUCAGGAACAUUUUUCCAGGGUAGGAGUAAUGUCUGGAAACAUCUUGACCAUGUAAAGAAAAAUCGCUGAAGCUGCUGGCAAGCAAAAGACAGAACAUUCAGUUAGCGCAGCUCAUUUCAUCUCUCAGGAGUGUGGGUUGCCCUCUUUGCUCCCCGUGGGAUGUCUCCCUUGCAGUAUGCUCUUUUGGUUAGCACGGUGAAUCAGCAAUCAAGGCAUAUGUGCUGGUACAGUUGGCUGCUCCUAGAAAUCCUCUUCAGUGUAGAAUGGGAAAACGGCUGGAGUCAGAAGGGACCUUCAGACAUCAUCUGGUCUAGCCCCCCUUUCGUCUGUGUGCUUUUAAGAGUCACCAUACAGACGACUUAUAUCUGUAGCACACUUCUAGCAACUAUUAAAAAUUUAGCUAUAUUUUAUAAACUAUUUAUAAAUCAAGCCCAAGUGCAAAGUGUAGCCAAAAAUCCACCUAUGUCCUGACUGGAAGCACAGCCCUAAGAAUGCUGCCGCAGAAGUAGGUACAGAGCACCUGGGUCUUGGGCUCAAGCCAAGAGCAGGUGAAAGACCCUUCAACUAACCCAAACAUGCUGGAAGACUCAGCCUCUGGAUCUCAGCAGGAUGAAAGCCUGACAAUGGAACACAUUCACUGCACAGUCUAACUAACCCACAGUGCAAGGUUAAUAUUUUACUAGUGAAUUUAACUGAAUAUUAUGCUUAAUUGACUUUACAGAAACACGUUAGAGUGGAGUUUCAUGUGCACAGUUAAAAUAAGGGUGCUUCCUAGAUUGCCUAUACUGUGCCCCUGACACAUUAUUUUGGUUAAAAUUUUGGCUGAUUUUGCCAAAAUAAGUCAUAGGAAUACAAAAAAAAUUAUGAAUUGAUUUUGUUUCAUUUAACAUCAAUAAAGAGCCCUUCUGUUUCUCAGCCUGGUUUUAAAUCUCCUGCACGUGGAGUGCAGAGGAGCAGAGUUGUUUUAUUAUGGAUGGCUCUGAAGACUGCAGUUUCCCAGAGUUGCAUAUUUCAUGCUUUCUAUGGCCCGUGGUAUCUCCCCAGGGACAGUGCGGUAGAAGACUGCUUCCCUAAAGGAAGCACUGCAGCUGGAUAUUUGUACCUCAUUCUGCUGGAAUAAUCGUUUCUAUUUGUUCAAAAUAUAAUGUUUUCUUUGUUCUGAUUAAUACUAAAGUGCCCUUUGGUGUUUUAAUAACCCUUUUGAUAGACAAGAAUUUAAUCUUUUACGAAGAAGGAAAGCCUGGAAUUUGUUCAAAAGUGAGUAUACUUUGGUAUGUGGGAUAAAAUAAGACUCCUCCACCCUCAACUUCUAUUCCUGUUUAAUCGUUCUUCCACACAGGGAGCGCUGGAGUAGGAUUAACUUCCAAAAAUUGUCAGCAAGAGAGAAAAUUCACAGCAGGCAUGUUAGCUAUGUUUAUUUGGAUUUAUACAGCUGUAUCUGAAAAUCCUAUCUCUCAGCAAUUUCAUUUUUGUGAGACAUAAAUCCCUUUUGAACCCAUAUUCUGUAGCUUUUACUGAAUGCAAAAUGAAUAACACACACUUUUUUUCAGAAUCUCACCAAACAUUUAGUUUACUUAAAUUGCACAUCAUAAACAUCUCCCCCACCCAGACUCCAGAGUUUCCUGGCAUCUUAUGUUCACCUUCUCACUUGGUUUUCUCUUAUGCAAGGCUUCAUGGAGAUAGAAAUAUCCUUCAGAGUUUGGGCUGAUAUAUGCAGUAAUUACUCUUAGAUGGAUGCGUGUCAGUUUAAAGUGAAAGUCUUCACGUCCUAGUGGAGAGCAGUCCAGAUUAUCACAGGUGCUUGAGAGAUCUUAAGUUAUUCUUCCACUUACAGUUGCACAAAACAAUUGUGGGAGAGAGAAGGGUAACAGACAUUUUUCUCUCUAACUACACCUUUCCCCAGGUGACAAUUAUGCCAUGGGAGGGACAGGUCAGUUAGAGGAAAACAGGGAAACCUCAGCAGGACAAGCCAUAGACCUACUCUUGGAGGUAGCAUCAGUAUUAAUAGCAGUAUAGAUUUGUGUAAACAAUAAUGCCCAAAAACUAACCUAGAACAUGAACCACCAUCCUAAUAACUUCAUAAUGCACAGUAGAGACAGGUUCAGCAUAGAACUCAAUAUAGAAUAUUCCCAUAGAACAGGAAUACUAUUGGGUGGGGAAGAAAGCUGAGUUGGAACAAGCCUAGUAUCUUUGUCAAUACAACCAAAACUGAAAAAUAUCGCCUUGCUUUCUUUGAAGAAGGUAACUGCUUUUAGCAUGGGAACUCUUCAGAAAGACCUGAAGGGUUUGAAAAACAUGGAAUAUCACCAUUUUCACAAUGUCAUUGUUGAGGCUGUGAUACUUAUAUCUAGUUGAGCAAGAGUCUUGCGUGUGAUAUGUGGUAACAGAAGAGGCGUAUUAAGUCAUAAUGUUGAAAGAAACAGCCACCAUUUGCAAUGAUGUAUUUUUGCUUUUUUUACAUGUCUUAAAUGUUAAGUACAAAAGUUCGUAGAAAACUUAGAAAGCCAGGAUUAAGUUCAUACUUGCUUCAAGCAAUGGAGGCUAACUGUAUGUCGUGGUUUGAGCCCAGCCAGUAACUCAGAACCACACAGCCGCUCGCUCACUCCCCCCUUUCUCCCUCCCCCCGCUCCCGGAGGGAUGGGGAGGAGAAUCGGAAGAAUGUAACUCCCACAGGUUGUGAUAAGAGCAGUCCCGCAACUAAGGUAUAAUACAAAACCACUGCUGCUACCACCAGUAAUAAUAAUGAUUAGUGAAAUAACAAGGGGAGAGGAUACAAUUGCUCACUACCCGCCGACCGAUACCGAGCCCGACCUGAGCAGCGAUCAGGGCCUUCCGGGUAACUCCCCCUGGUUUAUAUACUGGGCAUGACGUGCUGUGGUAUGGAAUACCCCUUUGGCCAGUUUGAGUCAGGUGUCCUGUCCCUGCUUCCGCCCGGCUUCCCCUCCUCCCUGGCAGAGCAUGAGACUGAGAAAGUCCUUGGUUGGAAUAAACAUUACUUAGCAACAACUAAAAACAUCAGUGUUAUCAGCGUCGUUCCCAGGCUGAAAGUUAAAAAACACAGCACUGCACCAGCUACUAAAAAAGAGAAAAAUGACUGCUGUAGCUGAACCCAGGACACUGUAUCAGCCAUGGUUUCUUCUCAAUUGAACUAAUUUAAUAACUCAGUAGAAAUCAUUCUCCCUAUAUAUUUCUGUUCAGCAUCUUUUCUUUUAAGGGCUGAUUAUUGCAGUUCCUGUGUAAGUAGGGGAUGUAAGGGAGACUUCUAAUAUUUUAUGCCUUCCAAACUCAGUUGUUAGUUUCUAAUUGGCUUACAGGAAAGCACUAGAAAGGUCAGUUACAGCCACACCAAAGGGAUUAUUUAGACUGAUGUAGAAAUCAGUUGAUAAUUCCCAUUGCACCUUCAAUUCCUUUUGAUUUAAUUUCACUUGACACUGCUGCAGGGAAGAACUGGCUCCUUAAUAAACUAACUCUGUGAAUAUUUUCUACAUGUAACAAAACACUAUAGAGGCUGUUCUUCUUUGCAUAAAAUAUUUAAAUAUUCCCCAAAUAAGGAUUUGGAUGCAAGCCUUCAUGGUCAACAUGUUAACCAUUGGAUCAAAGGGUCAUCCUGAUGCUCUCAUGCCAAUGAUUUAUGAACUUUAAGAAAGUAGCACAGCUUUGGCAAAAGAAACUGAAUACCUCCCAAGAACACUCAGUAGUUCAAAGCAGGCACUGUCCUGAGAGGUGAAAACCCGCACCUGAUCCUUGCUACAGAUGCAGAGCGAUCUGGACCCUGGUAAAUAGGCAUAUAAUCAGCUCUAUGAGCACAUGGCUUAUUAUACUGCUCUCCAGGGUUAAAAUUUUAGGCAGCAACUGAUUUAGGGUACUGAUGAUUUAAUUUUGUACUUAUAAGCAUAUUAUUAAUGCUGUCUACUAGAAAUCUAAGUCUUUUUGUGAAUUAAUGUCUCUGUCUCAAUCCUUUGUAUGCAAUAUAUUGUUCAAUAGAUUUUGUGUUUAAAACUGAGGUCACCUGCCAUUUGAUUCCUGGGUCUGUUACUGCUUUUUGAACUUGAGUUAAUAAUUCACUCUUUCAGCCAGAAUAGAUAUGACGCUGUUUUUCAGAUUCAUCCAUUUCUGAAGGCUCAAGUACAUCUAAACCCUAAAGAUAGUGUUGAUAAACUACAAACUCUUAAGGUUUUCAUAAACCCUGAAGUUUCUGAAAGGUGUUUGAAGUACAAUUUUAGCUUCAAUAAACACAGAAUUGCUACCAAAAAAUCUGCAAAGAGCAGAUUAUAUCCACUCUCUAAUUUGCACUGUUUUAACGGCAAAGAUGUAGAAUACACCAAGCACCAUGCCAAACUAAUUUGUCUUGAACCAAAUAGAAACACAUUGCUUCAGGGGAAAUGUUCAUUAAAAUUGUUUCCAUUGUACCUGCUUCCUCAGACACCUCCUACAUAAUCCAACUUGGUAUUUUGCAAUUAAGUGAAGUUCUUUAAUGCAGUAGCUUUCCUUCUUCUCUCCACCUGCCAAUCAAGUCAUACUACAAAAGCUUCUUCUACAUUCAGCUAGACAGCUGGCUGUAAAGUGCUCACUUUGCUCUUUAAAAAUAACGACAUGCAACCCACCGUUCUGUAUAGUCUGUCAUCAGAUCAUCUGUGUGGCAUAAUCCCCACCCUGCAAUGUCAGAAAGGCAGCAUGUAUUCAGCUGUCUAUCACAUUUUUAUGCUCGUUAAACCUUCGAUGAAGUCAGUGAGCCAAAAUAGAAUGUGAAAAAUAGACCAUCCUUUGCAAGCUUUAUGAAAGGGUACUCAGUCAUUUAAAGAAAAGUAUAGCAUGUAAGUAUGAAAAGAAGAACAGGUAUCACAGAAGAGCAGCUAUUUUUAGCUUCAAUUUCCAUUAAAAUAACAAUCUGCAUCUUUUGUUUAUAUGUUAAUGAAAUAACUUCUCUGCAGCCUAAUGGCCACUUUACUGUAAGUUUUAUGCAGA
Long non-coding RNA from Strigops habroptila (Kakapo), 5903 nucleotides. The record is from Ensembl. Lineage: Eukaryota; Metazoa; Chordata; Aves; Psittaciformes; Psittacidae.